CUCCGGCCUCCGUGCAAUCUCGUACGCAUGAACCCCGCCAGGACCGGAAGGUAGCAACGGUAGUGCUGUUCAGAUGUGCCGCGGCAGUCACCGGAGCCU
Molecule: signal recognition particle RNA, 99 nt
Filed under: Acidobacteriota bacterium
Lineage: Bacteria; Pseudomonadati; Acidobacteriota
Also listed under: 1 other name
Description: signal recognition particle sRNA small type
Rfam family: Bacterial small signal recognition particle RNA
About the family: The signal recognition particle (SRP) is a universally conserved ribonucleoprotein involved in the co-translational targeting of proteins to membranes.
Source: RNAcentral